Mirounga angustirostris (Northern elephant seal) is the source of this 1090-nucleotide long non-coding RNA. RefSeq lists it as uncharacterized. The record is from RefSeq and is a predicted model, not a curated record. The transcript has 2 exons. Lineage: Eukaryota; Metazoa; Chordata; Mammalia; Carnivora; Phocidae.
CCUCGGCGGGCCCCUCCGGCUCCCUCCACCGCCUCCUCGGGCGGCGGGCGGCUCCUGCAACGAGGCUCGAGGGCGGGGAGCGCUGCGGCGGCCCGAGCGCGCCCGCGGAGGGAGGGAACCAGAGAGCUGCUCCCACUGACGGGCAGAUGACUACUUCCCGGAACCCUGGAGGCCCGAGCCCAGGUCCAAGGCACUGCUCUUUGGGCUUUCCUACCGCUCUCAACGCUCUUACUCCUGGGUGACGUGCCCGCCGCCUGCUGUCACCGUUCGCGCGCCUAAUUUCGAGGCCCUUGGCUCAAGCGUUAUUCAGACCGCGGGCGCGAGUCUGGAAGGUUUUGGUGCAUUUUCUUAGGUGGUUUCUUUGACAUCCUGCUCUCCCAAGCCCGGAGUGGUACCCAGACAUCAUCAGCCCUCCGCCCCCAACUCUUUCUGGCAUUCCCAGACCCUGCAAAAGACUCUCCUUUCAGGGGAGGAAAUGGAGUUGAUGUUAAUCUGAGACGUGCGAGGAGGGGUUGUUAAUGUCUCACUAAUGUGGAUUCCCACCCGAGUUGUCACAUUGAAGUCAGUGGAUGGAUGGUGGCUGUGGAGGGUGAGGUCAUGGUGAAAAUCCCCCUAAACCGGACACUGUGAAGCUGACUCUUCCCUACAAGGAAGCAGAUAAGCAAACAGACUGAGAACCGGAGCAGGCAAAUUUUCGGCUUCCUGCCAGAUUACAGAGGAUAUGAACAGCCAAGGGACUUUUUUCUGUCCUAAGAGCAGAUUCAGGCUGGGAUACCUGAAAGGGCUGGUAGGGGACAAGCGACAAGUGACAGGUGCGUUGGUAACCUACGUAGCAAGGACCCCAGAAGCCAACUUAUUUAUUCUCAGUAUUUAGUUGUAAGUGGAAACGGCCGGUUUGGUUUGUCUCUCUUCUGGGAAGUGCAGCGGUAGUGCUGCUUGAUUUGGGGCUCUGUGGCUCGAAGCUACCUAUGUGUUGGGGAGUUGAGGUAAGAGGUCAGCACUCUGAGUUGGCCCAUGACAGGUUUAAAUUAAAAAAAUCAGUGCCAGUCUACUGUCAGGUUGGCUUAAUGGCUGAGAAGCCUCAUGACUC